GUGUUGCCAGCAUGCCCUUCGGGGUGAUGGGGACUCACAGGAGACUGCCGGGGUCAACUCGGAGGAAGGUGGGGACGACGUCAAGUCAUCAUGCCCCUUAUGUCUUGGGCUGCACACGUGCUACAAUGGCCGGUACAAUGAGCUGCGAUGCCGUGAGGCGGAGCGAAUCUCAAAAAGCCGGUCUCAGUUCGGAUUGGGGUCUGCAACUCGACCCCAUGAAGUCGGAGUUGCUAGUAAUCGCAGAUCAGCAUUGCUGCGGUGAAUACGUUCCCGGGCCUUGUACACACCGCCCGUCACGUCACGAAAGUCGGUAACACCCGAAGCCGGUGGCCCAACCCCUCACGGGGAGGGAGCUGUCGAAGGUGGGACUGGCGAUUGGGACGAAGUCGUAACAAGGUAGCCGUACCGGAAGGUGCGGCUGGAUCACCUCCUUU
This 434-nucleotide non-coding RNA is filed under the name Streptomyces turgidiscabies Car8. RNAcentral describes it as "Bacterial small subunit ribosomal RNA". It matches the Rfam family "Bacterial small subunit ribosomal RNA", at positions 1112 to 1533 of the family's 1533-position model. The record is from Rfam by way of RNAcentral. Lineage: Bacteria; Bacillati; Actinomycetota; Actinomycetes; Kitasatosporales; Streptomycetaceae.